UGCAAGUCGAACGGAAUAAGACUGGUUGUAGCGAUACUUUCGGUCUUAUUAGUGGCGAACGGGUGAGUAACACGUGAGCAACCUGCCUUUUACACACGGGAUAACAGCCGGAAACGGCUGCUAAUACCGGAUAAGACCACACUGAGGCAUCUCAGAGGGGUCAAAGCGUUUAGCGGUAAAAGAUGGGCUCGCGUCCCAUUAGCUAGUUGGUGAGAUAACAGCCCACCAAGGCGACGAUGGGUAGCCGACUUGAGAGAGUGAUCGGCCACAUUGGAACUGAGACACGGUCCAGACUCCUUCGGGAGGCAGCAGUGGGGAAUAUUGGGCAAUGGAAGGAAACUCUUACCCAGCAAAUGCCGCGUGAAUGAAGAAGGCCUUCGGGUUGUAAAGUUCUUUUAUUGAUGAAUAAAGAAAGUGAUAUUAGUCAAUGAAUAAGCCCCGGCUAACUAUGUGCCAGCAGCCGC
This 464-nucleotide ribosomal RNA is filed under the name uncultured bacterium. RNAcentral describes it as "bacterial SSU rRNA". It matches the Rfam family "Bacterial small subunit ribosomal RNA", at positions 56 to 518 of the family's 1533-position model. The record is from RNAcentral.